GACGAACGCUGGCGGCGUGCCUAAUACAUGCAAGUCGAGCGGACCAAAGGGAGCUUGCUCCUGGAGGUUAGCGGCGAACGGGUGAGUAACACGUGGGCAACCUGCCUGUAAGACUGGGAUAACAUCGAGAAAUCGGUGCUAAUACCGGAUAAUAAAAAGAACUGCAUGGUUCUUUUUGAAAGAUGGUUUCGGCUAUCACUUACAGAUGGGCCCGCGGCGCAUUAGCUAGUUGGUGGGGUAACGGCUCACCAAGGCGACGAUGCGUAGCCGACCUGACGAGGGUGAUCGGCCACACUGGGACUGAGACACGGCCCAGACUCCUACGGGAGGCAGCAGUAGGGAAUCUUACCGCAAUGGACGAAAGUCUGACGGAGCAACGCCGCGUGAGUGAUGAAGGUUUUCGGAUCGUAAAACUCUGUUGUUAGGGAAGAACAAGUGCCGUUCGAAAGGCGGCACCUUGACGGUACCUAACGAGAAAGCCACGGCUAACUACGUGCCAGCAGCCGCGGUAAUGUA
This 516-nucleotide ribosomal RNA is filed under the name uncultured bacterium. RNAcentral's name for it is "bacterial SSU rRNA". It matches the Rfam family "Bacterial small subunit ribosomal RNA", at positions 28 to 529 of the family's 1533-position model. The record is from RNAcentral.